RNAcentral lists this ribosomal RNA (638 nucleotides) under Riemerella anatipestifer. RNAcentral's name for it is "bacterial SSU rRNA". It matches the Rfam family "Bacterial small subunit ribosomal RNA", at positions 617 to 1262 of the family's 1533-position model. Lineage: Bacteria; Pseudomonadati; Bacteroidota; Flavobacteriia; Flavobacteriales; Weeksellaceae. The record is from RNAcentral.
AGAACUGCCGUUGAUACUGCUAGUCUUGAGUAUAGUUGAGGUAGCUGGAAUGAGUAGUGUAGCGGUGAAAUGCAUAGAUAUUACUCAGAACACCGAUUGCGAAGGCAGGUUACCAAGUUAUAACUGACGCUGAGGGACGAAAGCGUGGGGAGCGAACAGGAUUAGAUACCCUGGUAGUCCACGCCGUAAACGAUGCUAACUCGUUUUUGGGCUUUAGGGUUCAGAGACUAAGCGAAAGUGAUAAGUUAGCCACCUGGGGAGUACGACCGCAAGGUUGAAACUCAAAGGAAUUGACGGGGGCCCGCACAAGCGGUGGAUCAUGUGGUUUAAUUCGAUGAUACGCGAGGAACCUUACCAAGGCUUAAAUGGGAAUUGACAGCUGUAGAAAUACGGUUUUCUUCGGACAAUUUUCAAGGUGCUGCAUGGUUGUCGUCAGCUCGUGCCGUGAGGUGUUAGGUUAAGUCCUGCAACGAGCGCAACCCCUGUCACUAGUUGCCAUCAUUAAGUUGGGGACUCUAGUGAGACUGCCUACGCAAGUAGCGAGGAAGGUGGGGAUGACGUCAAAUCAUCACGGCCCUUACGCCUUGGGCCACACACGUGAUACAAUGGCCGGUACAGAGGGCAGCUACACUGCGAAG